UUGAACUUAGAUCCAGAUGAUAGGGUUUGGUGGCUUCGACGUGAGUAUGCUAAACAAAAUCCAAUUGCAUCAUUUUCAUCCUUGGUAGCAACAUCCUCAUUUCCCUUCCAACCAUACCAUCAACCACCUCCACCAUAAGCUCCUUAGAAUUAUUAUUGUAAUAUAACUAUACUACUUUUUUAUAUGUAAAACUAAUGUAUGAUACUUUUUAUGUUUGGUAUUUUUAUGCUAU
Molecule: long non-coding RNA, 232 nt
Filed under: Gossypium barbadense (sea-island cotton)
Lineage: Eukaryota; Viridiplantae; Streptophyta; Magnoliopsida; Malvales; Malvaceae
Description: long non-coding RNA (GBAR_LNC014395)
Source: RNAcentral